GACGUAGGGCGCGAGCGUUGUCCGGAUUUAUUGGGCGUAAAGAGCUCGUAGGCGGCUUGUCGCGUCGAAUGUGAAACCCACGGCUCAACUGUGGGCUUGCAUUCGAUACGGGCAGGCUAGAGUUCGGUGAGGGGAGACUGGAAUUCCUGGUGUAGCGGUGGAAAUGCGCAGACUAUCAGGAGGAACACCGGUGGCGAAGGCGGGUCUCUGGGCCGAUGACUGACGCUGGAGGAGCGAAAGCGUGGGGAGCGAACAGG
This 257-nucleotide ribosomal RNA is filed under the name uncultured bacterium. Its description in RNAcentral is "partial 16S ribosomal RNA". It matches the Rfam family "Bacterial small subunit ribosomal RNA", at positions 524 to 776 of the family's 1533-position model. The record is from RNAcentral.